This 493-nucleotide ribosomal RNA is filed under the name uncultured bacterium. Its description in RNAcentral is "partial 16S ribosomal RNA". It matches the Rfam family "Bacterial small subunit ribosomal RNA", at positions 29 to 523 of the family's 1533-position model. The record is from RNAcentral.
AUUGAACGCUGGCGGCAUGCUUUACACAUGCAAGUCGAACGGUAACAGGUUAAGCUGACGAGUGGCGAACGGGUGAGUAAUGCAUCGGAACGUGCCCGACCGUGGGGGAUAACGCAGCGAAAGCUGCGCUAAUACCGCAUACGAUCUGAGGAUGAAAGCGGGGGACCGUAAGGCCUCGCGCGAUCGGAGCGGCCGAUGUCAGAUUAGGUAGUUGGUGGGGUAAAGGCUCACCAAGCCGACGAUCUGUAGCUGGUCUGAGAGGACGACCAGCCACACUGGGACGGAGACACGGCCCAGACUCCUACGGGAGGCAGCAGUGGGGAAUUUUGGACAAUGGGCGAAAGCCUGAUCCAGCAAUGCCGCGUGCAGGAAGAAGGCCUUCGGGUUGUAAACUGCUUUUGUACGGAGCGAAAAGGCUCUCUCUAAUACAGGGGGCUCAUGACGGUACCGUAAGAAUAAGCACCGGCUAACUACGUGCCAGCCGCCGCCGUAG